GACGAACGCUGGCGGCGUGCUUAACACAUGCAAGUCGAACGGAAAGGCCUGCUUUCCCUUGUGGAUUGCGGGUACUCGAGUGGCGAACGGGUGAGUAACACGUGAGUGAUCUGCCCCCAACUUGGGUAUAAGCCUGGGAAACUGGGUCUAAUUCCCGAUAGGACUGCAGGGUGGUGCCUGUGGUGGAAAACGAUUUUCUAGUGGUUGGGGAUGAGCUCGCGGCCUAUCAGCUUGUUGGUGGGGUAAUGGCCUACCCAGGCGGCGACGGGUAGCCGGCCUGGGAGGGUGGACGGCGACAUUGGGACUGGGAUACGGCCCAGACUGCUACGGGAGGCAGCAGUGGGGAAUAUUGGACAAUGGGCGGAAGCCUGAUGCAGCGACGCCGCGUGGGGGAUGACGGCCUUCGGGUUGUAAACUCCUUGCGACCGCGAGGAAGCCACCUGGUUGGAAGGGUGGUGACGGUAGUGGUAGAAGAAGCACCGGCUAACUACGUG
This 494-nucleotide ribosomal RNA is filed under the name uncultured bacterium. RNAcentral describes it as "partial 16S ribosomal RNA". It matches the Rfam family "Bacterial small subunit ribosomal RNA", at positions 28 to 507 of the family's 1533-position model. The record is from RNAcentral.